UGCCAGCAGCCGCGGUAAUACGAAGGUCCCGAGCGUUGUUCGGAUUUACUGGGCGUAAAGAGUCUGUAGGCGGUAAAGUAAGUCAGGUGUGAAAUCCCGGAGCUCAACUCCGGAACUGCACCCGAUACUGCUUUACUAGAGUAUUGGAGGGGCAUCUGGAAUUCUCGGUGUAGCAGUGAAAUGCGUAGAUAUCGAGAGGAACACUAGUGGCGAAGGCGAGAUGCUGGACAAUUACUGACGCUGAGAGACGAAGGCCAGGGUAGCGAAAAGGAUUAGAUA
RNAcentral lists this ribosomal RNA (279 nucleotides) under uncultured bacterium. RNAcentral's name for it is "partial 16S ribosomal RNA". It matches the Rfam family "Bacterial small subunit ribosomal RNA", at positions 506 to 784 of the family's 1533-position model. The record is from RNAcentral.